This 255-nucleotide ribosomal RNA is filed under the name uncultured bacterium. Its description in RNAcentral is "partial 16S ribosomal RNA". It matches the Rfam family "Bacterial small subunit ribosomal RNA", at positions 524 to 777 of the family's 1533-position model. The record is from RNAcentral.
UACGUAGGCAGCAAGCGUUGUUCGGAGUUACUGGGCGUAAAGGGCGCGUAGGCGGUCGUGACAAGUCACUUGUGAAAUCUCCGGGCUUAACUCGGAACGGUCAAGUGAUACUGUCGGACUAGAGUACAGAAGGGGCAACUGGAAUUCUCGGUGUAGCGGUGAAAUGCGUAGAUAUCGAGAGGAACACCUGCGGCGAAGGCGGGUUGCUGGGCUGAUACUGACGCUGAGGCGCGAAAGCCAGGGGAGCGAACGGGG